RNAcentral lists this long non-coding RNA (4411 nucleotides) under Nicotiana benthamiana. RNAcentral's name for it is "long non-coding RNA (NBEN_LNC031763)". Lineage: Eukaryota; Viridiplantae; Streptophyta; Magnoliopsida; Solanales; Solanaceae. The record is from RNAcentral.
CCUAACUCAGUAGCCUCUAUGGAUAAAUACAGACAUCUUCGUAUCGAUCCCUCAGACUCUACGAAGCUCAUCCGUGAGUUGUGAGACCUAUGCUACCUAGGGCUCUAAACCAACUUAUCACGACCCGAAUUCACCACCCUCGGGAGUCGUGUUGGCGCCUACUAAUGAGAGCUAGGCAAGCCAAAACUUAAUCUCGUCAUCAUUACAAUAUACUCAUUCUUAGCAAUUAUUGGUAAUAUCAUGAAACAAUAAAAAUAAAUAAACAAAUAAGUGGAAGUCCUUAAUUAAAGGAACUGGUUAAAAUGCGGAAAUCCAACAUAAUCCUCUACCCAAGAACUGGUGUCACAUACUCACGAACCACUAAGAGUACAACAUAGAACCGUUUGAAAAGGAUAAUACAUUAUUUAUCACGAAAUACAUGAGAUAACAAAUUAAAAAACAAAAUAUUGGAGACUCCGCGCCUGUGGACGUCUGCAAGGCCACCUCGGUGUCUUGGUGGACUGAAGGUUGGCUCCCGAUCUAAUACUGCUGCUCAAAUGAUACUUCGGCACCUGGAUCUGUGAAAAAGAGUACAGGGUGUAGCAUCAAUACAACUGACUCCACGUGCUGGUAAGUGUUUAGCCUAACCCCAGCUAAGUAGUGACGAGGCUAGGACCAGACUCCAAAUAAGCUGGUGCAAUUAUAUAAUAUAUAGCAAAAAGUUAAACAAGUAAUGAGCACUUAAAGCUUGGGAAGGGGAACAUGCUGUAAGGAUGAAAGAUAAACAGAAUAUCAAGAACAAUAAGAAAAAACUAUAAUUUAAUUUCUAACGCCGGUAAAAAGAAGUAAUGACAACUUUCACUCUCAGUUUAAAUCUUGUUACAGACGUGCAAGCCGAUCACAUUUCAUCAUCUCGUGGUAGGCAUACCACUCCCUCCCAUUUCAUCAAGUCUCGUGGUAGGCGUAUGACCCGAUCCUAUUCAUUAUAUCUCGUGGUAGGUGUACCACUCGCUCCCAUUUUAAUAUCUUGUGGUAGGAAUACCACCCGUUCCCAUUUCCUUGUAUCUAGUGAUAGACGUACCAACCUGCUCCCAUUUUAAUAUUUUAUGGUAGGCGUACCAUCCGCUCCCAUUUCAAUAUCUCGCGGUAGGCGUAUCACCUGCUCCUAUUUCAAUAUCUUGUGGUAGGCCUACCACCUGCUCCCAUUUCAAUAUCUUGUGGUAGGCUUACCACCCGCUCCCAUUUCAAUAUCUUGUGUUAGCCGUACCACCCGCUCCCAUUUCAUGUUAUCACAUAAUCAUAUGAAAUUCCGGCAAGAGAAUAAAGUAACAUAAUAACUUCCCGGUAAGGGAAAAACAAUAUAAAAAAAAUCAUCCUGGUAAGGGUGAAUCAUCUAUUACCAGCUUUAACUCAGUUUGAUUAAUGGUAAUGCUCAAUCAUAAAUAGGAUCUACAAGGAUAAAAAAAAUCUUUGCCUGAUGCGGUAAAUCGUUGGUUAAGGCAUAUAUGGUGUCAUUUAAGAAUACAACAACUCCAAACUUAGAACUCACGGUCAUGCUUGACAUCAACGUAUAGAUACUCGUCACCAUGCCCAUACGUCGUACUCAACAAAGAGCAAUUAGCACUUAAGAUUAAACUCCUAAUCCCUCAAGCUAAGGUUAGACCUAAUACUUACCGUAAUGCCUUGAAUUCAAGUCAAGUCUCAAUUAUAGCUUUACCCCUUGGUUCCACCACUAAUCCGCUCAAAUCUAGUCAUAAGUUAUUUAAUCUCAUUAACAAAUGCCAAAUGAAUCAAACCCGAUGCAUGAAAAUAAGUUUUACAAAGUUUUACCCCGAAAGGUAAAAAAUUCCCCAGGCCCACGUGGUCGAAACUCGAGGUUCAGACCAAAACCCAGUUACCCAUUCUCCCAUGAAUCCAAAUAUGUUAUUUGUUUUAAAAUCGGACCUUAAAUUGAGGUCCAACUCCCCAAUUUUUAGAAAACCUAGGUUAUACACAAAACACCUAAUUUUCCCAUGAAAAUCUUUGAUUUGAAGUUGAAAUCGUGUUAAAAGAUGUUAAGGAGUGAAGAAAAAUGAGUUAGAAAUCACUUACCAAUCGUUUUGGAGAAGAAGAGUUGUUUGGAAAAUCGCCUCUUAUAUUUUUGGGUUUUGAAAAGUGUAAAGUAACUGAAAUUCACUUGUAUUUAUACCCUUUUGAAGAUACCUGUGCGGGCCGGGCAAAAACGGACCUCGGCCGCACAGGAUUUCUGAAGAGCUGCGGAUCAUUGCCCAGUGCAGACUGCACUAAGCCGACCGCGCCGCACAGUACCCACCGCGGACCGCGCAAAGGCGACCGCGGCCGUGCUGGCCCCUCCGCAGCUGCGCAAGAGGGUUCAGAGACAUGUCAAUUUCUUGAACCCGCAAUAUAUAAUUCUUUUGAUACUAAGGCAUCCUGGAGAACCUACUCUAAGUUCACGCAAGCCCUCAAAACUUUAAUCCAAGUAUACAUACAACCUCAAAAACAUCAUGAACAUCGAAUUGAACCUCAAGAUUGAGGAAAUUUCUCAAAACUUCUUUUGAAGCAUAAAUUUCCCAAUUAAGGUCUGGAUUGCGUCAAACAACGUCCGUUUUAACCAACUUUACAGGAGUGAUUCCAAAAUGAAUAUGAGACUUGUGCCGAGCGCCGGAACAAAAAUACGGGCCAGGUACCAUUACUUUAAAAUUAGAUUUCACUGCAAUUUUCUUUAAACAUUUUCAUAAAAGAAUUUUUACUUAAAAUUAAUAUUUCAAGCUUGGGACUUUGAAUUUCAAUUUCGGGCAUACGCCUAAUUCCCAUAGUUUCCUACGGGCCCUCUAGGACCGUCAAAAUAUUGGUCCAGGUCCGUUUACCCGCUAUGUUGACCCAAGUCAAAUCUAUUCAUUUUAGUAACAACACUUAGCAUUUUCAAUAAAUUUCACAUUUAGGCUUUCUGGCUACGCGCCCGAACUGCGUACACAAAUCGAGGCAACCCUAAUAAAGUUUGUAAGGCCUCGAAGACACGGAAUUCGAUUAAAAAAUAGGUGAUGACCCCUUUGGGUCGUCACAGGACAUCGCCAACUCAGGUGGGGGAGAAUGUCAUGGUUGAUAUUCCAGCCAUGCCCCCUGACCUUUUGGACGCUCCCCAUGACGUCCUAGCAAGCCUCCAAUGCCUAAUGCCAUGGACGACCAUUGGUCUUGAUUGCGCCAAGUGACAAACGCGCAUGUGCCUCCGUUGCCCCCAGCAAUAGCCCUCGCCAGUGCCCAGCUACAGAUGUAUGACAACAAUGUUGCGCAGGCAGACAACGUCACGCGCAUAGUCCGCUAUGCCAAAGGUAAGGUUGCUGAAAACAAACAUGUUUCUACCUUGUAGGAAACUAAGUCCUUUUCAUUGUAAAUAUAGAGUAGCUUUAUUUCAUAUGCUUCCAUUAUGUUUCUAGCUUAGUUAGGUUAAGUCUUGUAACUUUAGUUUAUUUUAUUUUUUUAAGAAUUAUUAGGGAGGAUCAAGAAAUCAAACUUUCCAGCUAGCAAACAAUUCUCUGUACAGGUAUCUCUACCCCUCGAUAUUGUGUUGUCUUUUUGUAAUAACUUUCAUUAAUGUAAUCAUAUUUUCUUUCAUUCUCAAUUCUCUUUUUGAUUCUCUCAAUUUCUCUUGAUAUUGAUUCACCACUAACAAUCUAGUCUAGCAUAUAGAGUUGAACUUAGUUAGUGAAAAGUAACUGCACAAACAUCGGUUGCUUAGCCUUAUGUUGCCCUUUCAAGGAAUCUCAGAAAAGCGCCGCGUAACAGGCUCAACAUUGGAAAAGGAAAUACAUUGUCAUUACUACCAUUUCUGACCAUGGUGAAUCAUGCGGAACGUAUCGCGGUCCUUGAAGAGACGAUUGACGUAUUAUGGCAUGUUAGAAAGGGUAUAACCCCUUUCCCUACUUUUGGUUUCUCAAUUUUAGUAUCUCUGAUGUUAAACCAUUAACAAUGGAAAAUAAACAUAAACCCAUUAACAAAAUGACCGAAUCAAAUACAACGACGACGAUGAUCUAGUAGAAUCCCAACAAAUAAAGCAAUAGCGAAUAAGAGAUACAUAAUCUAAAUUGAUCUAACGUCCGCGAAGAAUAAGGCGAAAAAAUAAAGACAAAUUGUGAAAUUACGAAAAGUAAAAAUAUUGACAAAUCUCUAAAUAACAUAUCAAUUAGCAAAAUCACAAAGAGCUAAGAGACUAACCGGAUGCUAUUUGACCCGGAUUCAAGUUCUGUAGAAAAGAGCCAAAAAAGUAAUGAACAAAGAGAAAGCCAUUAAAAGAGACUAUGAACAUGAUAAAAGAAAAAAUGAAAGAUGGAUGACUUUAAAGAAUGGAAGUGGACACGCCAUUCCUUAUAAGUGGACACAUGGAUAAGCUGCCAGGUAAAAUAACAAAUAAUAUAGUGGGACACGCGAAUUAUAU